CGGGUUCUGCCCUUCUCGUGAACGGGUACAUUCCGGUGGCCUUAAGCAAAUCCGAGGGAGCUGGCUCUGGCGAGGCCCUGGUCUCGCUACCUGGCGCCCACCUGUACAUACAGGUCCUCGGGAAUGCACGACCCACACGGUUGGCGCGGUUCCCGC
Molecule: unclassified non-coding RNA, 156 nt
Filed under: Citreimonas salinaria
Lineage: Bacteria; Pseudomonadati; Pseudomonadota; Alphaproteobacteria; Rhodobacterales; Roseobacteraceae
Description: 6S / SsrS RNA
Rfam family: 6S / SsrS RNA
About the family: E. coli 6S RNA was the first non coding RNA to be sequenced, but its function was unknown until recently. It consists of 184 nucleotides that fold into an extended hairpin structure with a large single-stranded internal bulge.
Source: Rfam by way of RNAcentral